RNAcentral lists this ribosomal RNA (1485 nucleotides) under uncultured Bordetella sp. RNAcentral's name for it is "partial 16S-23S ribosomal RNA intergenic spacer". It matches the Rfam family "Bacterial small subunit ribosomal RNA". The record is from RNAcentral. Lineage: Bacteria; Pseudomonadati; Pseudomonadota; Betaproteobacteria; Burkholderiales; Alcaligenaceae.
UGGGAGCACUGGUGGUAGUAAUAGAGGGUUCGAUUAUGGCUCAGAUUGAACGCUGGCGGGAUGCUUUACAUGCAAGCUCUAACGGCACGGACUUCGGUCUGGCGGCGAGCAGAACGGGGUGAGUAAUGUAUCGGAACGCUCAGUAGCGGGGAUAACUACGCGAAAGCGUAUUAAUACCGCAUACGCCCUUCGGGGGAAAGCGGGGACCUUCGGGCCUCGCACUAUUAGGAGCGGCCGAUAUCGGAUUAGCCAGUUGGUGGGGUACAACGGCUCACCAAGGCGACGAUCCGUAGCUGGUUUGAGAGACGACAGCCGCACACUGGGAUCGAGACAUGGCCCUGACUCCACAGAGGCAGCAGUGGGAAUUUUGGACAACAGAAAACCCUGAUCCAGCCAUCUCCAAGUGUGUGCGAUGAAGGCUCGGGUUGUAAAGCACUUUUGGCAGGAAAGAAAUGGCACGGGAUAAUACCCCGUGCAACUGACGGUGUUCAGAGAAUAAGCACUCAAUAACUACGUGCCAGCAGCUGCGUAACAUGCAGGUGUAAAGCGUUAACCGGAAUUACUGGCGGAAGGCAGGUUGUCUGGAGUUAAGAUGUGAAAUCCCAGAGCUUAACUUUGAACUGCAUUUUUAAUCACUGAGCUAGAGUGUGUCAGAGGGAGGUGAAUUCCGCGUGUAGCAGUGAAAUGCGUAGAAUGCGUGAGGAACACCGAUGGCGAAGGCAGCCUCCCGAUAACAUCACUGACGCUCAUGCACGAAAGCGUGGGGAGCAAACAGGAUUAGAUACCCUGGUAGUCUACGCCCCAAACGAUGUCAAAUUUAGCUGUUGGGGCCUUCGGGCCUUUGCAGCGCAGCUAACGCGUGAAGUUGACCGCCUGGGAGUACGGUCGCAAGAUUAAACCGCGUGAAUUGAUGGGGACUCGCACAAGCGGUGGAUGAUGUGGAUUAAUUCGAUGCAACGCGAAAACCUUACCUACCCUUGACAUGUCUGGAAUCCCGAAGAGAUUUGGGAGUGCUCGCAGAGAACCGGAACACAGGUGCUGCAUGGCUGUCGUCAGCUCAAAUGAGAUGUUGGGCGUCCCGCAACGAGCGCAACCCCUUUGUCAUUAGUUGCUACGAAAGGGCACUCCAUCGAGACUUGCCGCGACAAACCGGAGGAAGGUGGGAUGACGCCAAGUCCUCAUGGCCCUUAUGGGUAGGGUCAGACGUCAUACAAUGGUCGGGACAGAGGUCGCUAACCCGCGAGGGGGAGCCAAUCCCAGAAACCCGAUCAGAACUGGAUCGCAGUCUGCAACCGACUGCGUGGAAGUCGGAAUCGCUAGUAAUCGCGGAUCAUGGCUGUCGCGGUGAAUAUGUUCCGCGUGGGUCUUGCACACACCGCCCGUCACACCAUGGGAUGGUUUCACUGGUAGGGAGAAGUUAGCCUAACCGUAAGGAGGGCGAUUACCACAGGAUUCAUGACUGGGGUGAAGUCGUAACAAGGUAAU